This 490-nucleotide ribosomal RNA is filed under the name uncultured bacterium. RNAcentral describes it as "partial 16S ribosomal RNA". It matches the Rfam family "Bacterial small subunit ribosomal RNA", at positions 28 to 507 of the family's 1533-position model. The record is from RNAcentral.
GAUGAACGCUAGCGAUAGGCUUAACACAUGCAAGUCGAGGGGCAGCAUGGUCUUAGCUUGCUAAGACUGAUGGCGACCGGCGCACGGGUGCGUAACGCGUAUGCAACUUGCCUCACAGAGGGGGAUAACCCGUCGAAAGACGGACUAAUACCGCGUACACUUGGGAUAGGGCAUCCUGACCCAAGGAAAUGAAAUUCGCUGUGAGAUAGGCAUGCGUCCCAUUAGCUAGUUGGUGAGGUAACGGCUCACCAAGGCGACGAUGGGUAGGGGAACUGAGAGGUUGAACCCCCACACUGGUACUGAGACACGGACCAGACUCCUACGGGAGGCAGCAGUGAGGAAUAUUGGUCAAUGGGCGAGAGCCUGAACCAGCCAAGUCGCGUGAAGGAUGACUGUCUUAUGGAUUGUAAACUUCUUUUAUACGGGAAUAACCAGAGCCACGUGUGGCUCCCUGCAUGUACCGUAUGAAUAAGCAUCGGCUAACUCCGUG